GAUGAACGCUGGCGGCGUGCCUAAUACAUGCAAGUCGAGCGAACAGACGAGGAGCUUGCUCCUCUGACGUUAGCGGCGGACGGGUGAGUAACACGUGGAUAACCUACCUAUAAGACUGGGAUAACUUCGGGAAACCGGAGCUAAUACCGGAUAAUAUAUUGAACCGCAUGGUUCAAUAGUGAAAGACGGUUUUGCUGUCACUUAUAGAUGGAUCCGCGCCGCAUUAGCUAGUUGGUAAGGUAACGGCUUACCAAGGCGACGAUGCGUAGCCGACCUGAGAGGGUGAUCGGCCACACUGGAACUGAGACACGGUCCAGACUCCUACGGGAGGCACCAGUAGGGAAUCUUCCGCAAAGGGCGAAAGCCUGACGGAGCAACGCCGCGUGAGUGAUGAAGGUCUUCGGAUCGUAAAACUCUGUUAUUAGGGAAGAACAAAUGUGUAAGUAACUAUGCACGUCUUGACGGUACCUAAUCAGAAAGCCACGGCUAACUACGUG
Molecule: ribosomal RNA, 497 nt
Filed under: uncultured bacterium
Lineage: Bacteria
Description: partial 16S ribosomal RNA
Rfam family: Bacterial small subunit ribosomal RNA
Source: RNAcentral